UUUUUUUUCGUUUUUAUUUUGUUUUUAAUUAACUUAUUUUUCUCAUUUUUUUACUUUAUCUUUCUUUUAGAAACCUGUUUAAAUUUUUUGAAAUAUUUUUUGGAAUACCAAAAAAUGUUUCUGUUUAAAAAACUUGGUUCCGUUUGGUGGAGGUGAAAAAAAGUUCUUCGAGACUUGCCCUAUGGUCGGCUACGGCCAGCCGCGACGGCGCCAACACCCGAAGGAGACGGUUUUCUUCUUGGAGACGUCGGUCGGUCGGGUCUGCCCUACGCCCCUACCUCUUCCUACCUCACCGUGACUCGUUUGAAAACCAUAACUAUGGUGGGCGGUGACAACACUCUGUGUGUCGUGUCUUUCUUGAAGGUUUCAUCGUGAGAGCAUUGUAGUGGUGGGCACCAUGUGGUCUCGUUUGCAUCUGCUGAUGGCGCGCCCUUCUCCCUCUAGCGGCAUCUGCUUCAGCGGAAACCCUAGAUCUGGGUCUCCCGAUCGGCUGAUGAUGGGGACUUUAGUGUUGUUCUCCUUCUUGGGGGGCAUUGUUUUAGAGUAGGUACUAACUAAAGGGGCCAAUAGGUGGAACGAUGUUGUAUCUACCGCAUUGAAGACGACGGGUCUCGACGACCUGGCAUAGUGGAGUCUCAGCAUUGGACUCGGGUUGAUGGACACGCGUAGGCUGGUGGCGUUAUCUGACGUUGUUGCUGGCCGGCGGUUGUUGGGCCUGACAAGGUCAAUAGGUUGAUCACUCCUGCAGACAGGGACGGAGCCAGGAUUUCGACACAGGGAGGGUGAGGUUUCACACUAAGUCUCAUACGUGAAGGCUAUGUUGUAAAAAAAAAACUUAGGUUCUAGUCUAAUGGAGAUGCCAUGGUGCAAACUUAUCUUUUUCUAAUCUAUUCAUCGCAUUCUCAUGAAUAAAACUUGAAAGAAAAUUGACAUCUGACAAAAAAAAGUUCACAACACUAGAAACACAAGAUAAUCUUAUGAACUAAUAAUUUGUAGUAAUGCAAUGUAGGUGAAUAAUACAUUACCUAAUCUCAUUAUUUGUUGGAAUUGGUGAGAUGGACCUCACUGAUUCAACUCAAUCCCAAAACCAGAAUCGGCAAAAGCUAGCAUGCGAUUUUGUUGAAGCUAUCAAAGAAGAGUGGUACAAAGAGAACAAUGAUUAGUUUGGAAAUGAUAAACCAGGACUAAUCUAGGUCUCAAAAUAAACUAUCUUUUUCCUUGUUUCGUUGCCGUUCAUCGGCAAUAUCCCCGUGUAUCAGGCACUCGCCGGCGGUUGUCUCCUACCCUUCUCCGCUACUCUUGAUUGCAAUGCAAUGGAUCGCACAAGUACAAGAUUUAUAAUUGAUUCUAAAUCCGUAUGAUCAUACUUCUAUGAUUUUAAAAGAAACAAACUAAUCUGAUGUGAAAAUCAACUGCCUUUUCCCUUGUGUUGUUGAUGUUCAUCCAUGCUUCUGGUCUGCUGGGAACCGGCAGCAUGUGCAUACAUGUGCGUGGAUCUACACCCGCCUACCUGGAGCCGCCUUCCCUUCUCCACUUCUCGGUGGCAGCCCAACGAAGAGAUCCGAUCGCAGCAGCCAGCGGGCGUUAGUCUCGAUCGCAGCGGCGGCUUGGAGAGAGUAGCGAUAUGUGCGUUCGUAAUCAGGUCGUGGCUGCGUGUUAACAUGCCUGCGUGGGGGCGAAGCAAGCACAGAACAAGCGGGAAGGGAAAAAGAUUAGCGAUCAGUUGAUCGCUAUCGAGGGACGAGACGAUCGUUAGGGGGUCCCCCCCCCCCUCGUCCCCCCUUAGAUCCGUCCCUGCCUGCAGGUGUGACGGUGCAAGAUGGCGACGGCUGAUCCAGAGCGUGCGCAUGAUGCGGGUCGGCCAGAAUGGGUAGUGUGCUCUCUGCCUGAUGUCGAGCAACUGCAUGAGGCCACCGGAUUAGAUAGUGCGCAUUCAUGCGGUUCGGGCACAUUAUUAAGAUUGUAGGUGUUCGACUUUGUUUGUCAGAUAGGUGGCUUCGGAUCGAUCCAUAUAUUUAUGUUGUCAGACUCUAUUGAAUAAUAAUAAAGAUGCUCUGCAUCGAUUGAUGCAGAUGCUGGGUUAUCCUCCUUUUUCGAAGAAAACAAUUUUGAGUUUAAAUCAGAUUCCAUUGAGUUUUUUUAGGGAAGAGACCGUUCUACUAGCAAUUUGCCAAUUUGACGGAAUGCACCGGAUUAAUAGCAGAGAAAACAAACAAGUUUUUUAUAGGGGAGAGAAAACAAACAUGUUUUUUUUAGACAAAGAAAACGAACAAAUGAAAGAACAUUUUUGUCCACACCAAUUUGACAUUGAAAAGCCAGCUUCCCGGCCCACGAGAGCACGACUGACCCACCCGCAGACGCCAAACCGACUGCCACCAUUUUUCCCCAGCUCCAAACUCCACCUCACCGCCGCCAUGGGUGAGCGCCUCCUUCUGUCAGCUCCUCUCCCUGUCCCCCGCCAUCUUGCCGGGUUUUGACGGAUUCGUGGUUCGCAGGCGCCUACAUGUUCGUGUAGGAGCUAUGGAGGACGAAGCAGCCAGACCUGACGAGGCUCGUGCAGCGGCCGGCGACCGUGCGCCGUCUCGGCUCCGAGGUAAACUAGGCGUGUGGAAUGUGAUUACCUCUCGGAUCCCACGCUCCCUCGUGUUUGUUCUUGAUGCGACUAUCGUUAUUCGUCUGUAUUUUUUUGCUCUGUGCAGCUGCGUCGCCGUACUCUAGCGUGUGGAAUGUGACAAAAUGGAUGGCAGUUUGUUCUGGUGGAGAUCUGCACUUGUGCGCCUCAUGAUGCUACACACACAUGCUUAUAUUUUGGUUAUAUUUAGUCAUUUUUAUAAUUCACCCGAAAACAAGCAUGAAAAAGUUCAUUGAAACCACAUGGCCCAUUAGCACCUGAUAAUGAUAACAAUGUUCAUUUGUGGGAACUGUUUAAACAACACAGCUCAUGCAGACGUUUUGCAAAUUAAAAUUGUACGAUCAAUCAUUGUAGCAACAUGGAGACCUAUUGGGUGCAAUCUUCUUGCAAUCCGCUACCAAAAAUUACAAAAACUUCCAGAACAAAUGUACAUAUAACUCUGGACUUGUCCCGUAUGUGAUUAAAAUCGAAGUUUAAGCACAGCCUAUGUUAUGAGUAAGGAAAAGUGAAUUCUGGCAGGUUUUGUCAGAAUAAUCCCUGGUGAUAUUUGUCUUACUCGUCCACAGGUUGUAUUUAGACUUAGUUUUUCAAAGAUUAUAGAUUUUCUCAUGAAUUCUGGUAGUGGAUUAACUCGCUACAUAUAACUCAACAAGUAAAAUAUUAGUUUCAAUGAACUGUAGAACACGAGUAGUAUUAGAAAAAGGCUAGAAGUCUUAUUGCUGAGAAGAAAAGUAGAUAACUCAUUUGUUACUUCUUUUCUUGUAACUAAAAUAUCAAGUUUGCUCAUCGUUGUAGCUUCACAAGCCUAUUGAGGAGACCAAGGAAGCCAAGGAGGAUGCACUACCAGAACUUGCCUGCCAAGAUAUGCAUGGUAAUGAAAUCUUUCAGUAACCAAAAAAAACAAUCUGAAGGGGCUUGAGCCUUAAACACACACAAGAUUGGGUUGCCUGAAUCACGAGCCUUAUACACUGUGUUACGAUCACCUCAUAUUGAUAAAAAAAUCCAGGGAGCAGUUCUCAACACAUGUGAAGAAGGUAUUUGUGGUUAAAAAGGCAGAGACACGUGAAUUGGCCAGGAAGUUCUUUUGGUUGAAACGGCUUCGUGUAUCGGGUGUUCAAUAUGAAAUCAAUAUUAGUUUGAAAACCCGAUUGGAUAAAAUGAUUGGCUGCAGCAAAGGUGGUGACCUUCUUCGACAGUGGUUCUAAACCAAAAGUCCAAAACAGGAGACAAGCAUAGGAAAAAGGAGGUAAUAACAAGAUAACGAAAUGUUUCUCUUGGGCAAUUGAGUUAUCUCUUAAUUGGAAUAAAUUAUAGGUUGGUUAACCGAUGGACUAAUUGGUUUUUGCUUGUUGGCUGCUUUCUUGUGACCUGAGCCUGCGGUUACAAACUAUCUAACUUUUGAGGAUCUUAAUUUCUGAUCCUGGUUAUAUCUAUCGUGGAUGCAACCAUGUAUGUAUUUUGGAGAUGAUGCCGAUCAUAAUGUGGAUUCAAGACAUCGUUGAUUCUUGUGUAGUAUAAUAACAUGCUACUGUCCUCUUAAUCUGGUUUAGCCAGAAUAUAUGAGCUAGCAUGAAUGUGUGAAUGCAGGGAAAUUAAGUAACAGAAUUUGACUACUAUAUGUGGGUGAGAAUUGAUUUACCCAUAGUUGGCUAAUGGCAGUUGCAUAUGGGAUUGACAGUCUGCUAUGGUAAGUAGUCGAUGUAUUGUAUGUUUGAGCACUUCUUUGCGUCGUCCAUGUCAUUUAUGUAGUCUUGUUCAUAGUGGAGAGAUAAGGCUGAUAACAAUGUUAGAUACUGGAUGUAUCUAACCAUUUGAGCGACAUUUAGUAUGUGACCGACGGAGUACAUCUGUAGUUAACUUUUGGAAAUAUGCAUGUGCUGUAAUUUGACAACAAUGUUUGAUCGAUGUGUAAAUAAAUUCUGGAUAUAUGCACAUGUCUCUGUCUCGAGUCUCAAAUUUCUCUCAUUUUCCGUCAAAUGGACAUACUAGUAUGUCACUUGGUAUUAAAUAUGGAGCAACAUACAAGGUCAACCACUCAUUGAAUUCAUUAAUUAUCAUGAUUGUUUGAUGGUGCGAUUUGCUCCAGUCAUUCACAUGUAUAAAUAUACAAGCCAAGAAAUGUCUCUACACACUAGAAUUCAUGCCAGGUGAGUGCAUCGAGCAUGGGGAUGUGGGGGGAAGAAGCAAGAACCUUGAGGCAUGAGAGGUAUCAGGACAAACAUUGCUUUAUUACAACGGCAGAGAGGAGGCGGUGCAUAUCAAGCAAAAUUUAGUUAGGCUAUUUGCACAUUAGAAGUCAAAUGAUGAGUGCUACAAAUCUGUUGGCCUCCAAGUGUUCAGUUAGGUGAUAGCGGACAGUUUUGUUAUAGCUUAGUGAAGUGGUUCUCAGCUAUCUCCUCUGCUCUUCGACUCCGCUUCGGAGUUCAGUCCUGACACAAUGUGAGUUGACCACCAACAACCAGAAACAACAAAACAGUCGGCAACUAUAGAAGCUAGUCACCACAUUGAAUUAGCCUUUCACUACUUGAGUCAGUCUUUCUACCUAGAAAUCUGACACACGGAGCUAAGGGAACUAGAGGUGCAUCAGCAAUUGUACAUUGUAUAUCACUAUCACAUUCUAAUGUGAUGUAGAAAAGUUCACUGUAUGUGCAGAUUCAAUUGGAUACAAAACCAACCACUUACUAAACCAACCGCUUACAAGAAACAACUCUAGACAUUGCGUUCAGUAAGAGGCCAGUGCCACAUAUCAAGUCUUUUGCAUGGUAGUACAUGAAAGAUGCAUAACAUUCGGCCAGGAUACUGAGUUCCUCACUUUUUUAAGCCGCUAGAAACUGAUCCUCGGUCAAAUAAGGCACACAAAUCAACACUACAAGCUAAGUAUGCAAACGUUAUCAUCAAUUUGUGUGAACUAGAACUUUUAGAGUUGCUAAAAUAACCUCAAUUUAACAAGCUUACAACACAUCUCUGCAAUGAACCUCCCAACUCAAUUUCAGCCUUCUGAAGCAUCAAGACCCAACCUUAUGAUUCUCUUUGUUGAGAACUUCAGACCGAAUUUGCGUGCUGAGUUUCGAGAGAUCAGCCAUUUUCCACAAAGACAUGACAUUUCAAAUGUCAGACCUCAAAACUAGAGGCCAUCAUGAACAGAAGAUGCAACAUUUGUUCUUUCUAGCACACUGAAGGGAAGCAACAAAAUUUAUGAAAGAUUCAGAUUUCCUCAACCUUUGCACCUUUGUCCAAACGGCAGUGUGACUAAAAAAAACUUUGUGGACGCAGAAGGGACGGGUUUUUCAUGCUCGCGUCUGGCCCAUGUCAGCACCGAUCUGAGUCUUCCUCAUGUGUCAUGUGUGAAUGGUCGCGCAACUACAUCGUCGAAGAUGUUGCCUACUUUCAGUUCUUAUUGCGGCCCACACAACACGGCACCGGUAACAACGACUCCUCCAAAAGCUCCAACGGCUGACACAUCAUGCACGUGAAUGUUGUAGCAUUAUCCUUAACAAUCUUUGUAUUAUAGAGAAGUAAUAAUAUUGGAGAAAGGGAUAAACAAUGUCUAGUUAUCUGCUACUAUCUUCUGAAUCUCACUUGGCGAAUAUAUGAGCUAGCAUGAACGUGUGAUAUUCAUGAGAAAUAAACAGCCUAAUCUGGUUAUCAAUAUGUGGGUGAAAAUUGAUUUACAUAUAAUUGGCUAAUGGAGAAUACAUAUGAGAUUGACACAGACUGCUAAGUUAAGCGAUAUUGACAUAAUUAAGCUUGAUUAAGUAGAGAUAAGGAAUCUUGGAGAGAAAGUAAGUAGAGAUAAGGCUAAUUGACACAAGCUUCAUUAAGUACGUCCUUGUGUAACCCAUGGCAUUCAUACAGUCUUAUUCAUAAUAGGGAGAGAAGGCUGAUUGACAUGAUUUUGUUGAACACAUUGUAACGUGACAUAUUGUAACGUAGAUAGUAUAUUACAUAUGUGUUCGCGUCUAGACUAGGUAGUUAGGUGCAGGAUCUUAUCUCUAUCUCAUGUAACCAUGUCUAGCCUUAUCUCUACUUUCUUUCUCUCCAAGAUUGUAAUCUCAACAUCCUCAACUGUGUGCUCUAUCCUCCGUCCCCUCACAUCGAGGUUAAGAUGCUUAAGCCAAUCUUCACAGAUUUCAGUAUGAAUAUCUGAUAACAAUGUUAGAGCAAUGUAUAACUAAGUCCUGGAAACAUGUGUGUGUUGUAAUCUGACCAUAAUGUUAGAUCAGUGUGCAAAUAAGUUUUGGAUGUAUGCAUAUGUCUCUGUCUGAAGUCUGAAAUUUGUCUCAUUUUCCCAUCAAAUGGACGUACUAGUAUAUCACUGGGUACUCCCUCCGUUCCAUAAUUUGAACUAAAACCACGACAAUAAUUAUGGACCGGAGGGAGUAUUAAAUACGGAGUAGCAUAUGAAACACAAGUAUAUAACUAGUUCUCUUUUUUUUCCGGAAAUGCUGUUUGGUGGCCGAGCUACAUGGUGCUCUGUAUCUUGUGCGUUAGUCUUUAUGGAGAUCAGGCGCAUGCGCGUAUUAGUCUCACGUAUUUAAUCCUUCAGCAUUUACAGGCCACUGUAUUCUCCCUUUAUCAACAGUGUUUUCCCAUGUCAGGUCUUGCGGGCGCCCGCACACGUGCCAUCAUACAACCAUCACCACGCGACAGACAUGCACCAUUAUUACACCCCCAUAAUUAUUCAUUUAAAUCUGAUCCAUGGUAACUGGAGCCUUUUGUCACUUGCCAUUACUAGUUUGAGUAUACCAGACGACAAGGGAUGCUGCUUUGAAAAAUUAAAAAAUGAGAGGGGAUGAUGCUGGUAUAACGACCAUGAAAAAAUUGUCUGAAAAGCCUCAUGUAUCAAAUUCGAGUUGAAUCACAAAUUUUCUUUGCCCGAUAUAAGUAACCAUAUGACUAGAUGAUCAAUCAAUAAUAAAUACAAUCCGAAAAUCUCAAACUACUGCAAAUCCACUCCAAAAACAUCUUUCCGUCCGAAUGCAUGCGAAAGUGAUUUUUCUCAUUUUUGUGUUAUUGGGCAUAUCGUAUCUCAUAUUUUGUGUUUAUGUUUUUAUUAAAAAAAUAAUCAAGCCUUAUAAAGCACGUCCCGCUUCUCUCAAAAAAAUUGCGAUCAAUGAAGAAAAUGUGUCGCUCACAAUAUCAACGGCACGCCACCAAAAAGCGCACCAGUCACCGCUUUCUAAAUCAUCAAACACAAAGUGGUAACUUUUUUGUACAUAAAUCACGGCAACCGUAUAGCGGCAAUGCACACACAGUACCAUUACAAAACUAGUUUAUCUCUACCCCAUCCAGAACAAAAUUUUCACCGGACUGAUAAUUUACACCAAAAAAAUUCUUCUUAAUUGAUGUAUCUAAAUUUUCUGAGACACACGCGCGUGCGCACACACACUUCUAUUGUGCUAGGAGACAAUGCCGAUUGAUUGUCGAUUUUCUCCUCCCGAUCAUGCCAUAGCCAGAGAAUUUACUGUACUAUCUCGUUUUUGCACAGAUUACCUCGUACCAAGUUGUGCUACUCCCUUCGAUCUUAAUUAAUUGACGCAACGUCUAUACAAGAUUGUAUAGAGGUUGUAUAAAGCUUGUGUCAAUUAAUUUGGAUAGGAGGGAGUACCGCAUUUUCAAAAUAGAAAAAACAAUUCACCAAUUGUGUCAAACAUUUUUUAGUUUUCCCAGCACAACUAAUUUGUUGUUGGAUUCCCUGGUCCAGUUCACAUUUUGUUAUCAUAUUUUCCCAACAAGUUGGCAACGUUUUUUGUCUGUUCUGGUAUCUGUCACAGUAAACCCAUAUUUUGUUUAGUCUAUAGCAUAAAUCUCCUCUGACACGCAUAGUCCAGCAGCAAGAGCCGCUCGUAGUGUCCAGCAGCUGCAUGCAUGGUCUCUCUGCGGUCGCAGCAAACAUCUGCUCUGACACACAGUGCAGCUAGCCGUCAGCACAUCAACGCACGCCAUGUUCAUGAAAUGACCGGACAUAUCCAACGCCCAUGUACACCAACGCAUGGCACCGAUGUAUUUCCAUAAACUAGUCCGCGUAUUAUACCAAGAAAGACAGGCUGCACAGAUCGCAACGGGACAACAACUGGACAAGAUAAAGAGAGCCAUGUAGCUCGGCCUCCAAAAUGCCUCUCUCUUUUUUUUCAUGUUAAAUAGACACACUAGUAUAUAACUUGGUAUAAAACACAAGACCAGCCAAGCAUUGAAAUGCAUGCAUGUACACUGAUCGUGAUGUUCAUCAAUUAUCAUGAUCGUGUCAUGAACAUUGGUAAUAGGUGCAAUCUGAUCCAUUCACUCACAUUUAUAAAUAUACAAGCCAACAAAUGUAUACACACUUUGAGAAUAAGUCCUAGGGAAGUUCAACAAGGCACCACUACAUCGGUUCAAGGACCAUGAGGCUUGGGAGGUAUCAUGAGAAAUAUUGCUUUAUUACAAUUGAAUAGAGGGUGUCAGAGAUACACAAAUCAAGCGAAGGCGGUCUCUUCAAAAUGUGAUAUCUCUAGCUUUGUCAAUAAUUACUUAAUGUCAUGUUAACUCCUUUUGUACGUAAACCAUGUUUUCAAAUAAGUGUAUAUUACCACCAUUAACUAUAGUGCGAGUUGCCACUAAAACAAGUAUCACGGGAGUUUAAUUUUGACUGUGAACUCAAUUAUAUACCACUUAGAGGAGACCCCUAAAUUCUAAGAACAGUUUGCUUUAUCUGUCUAUUCAUAUUGAGGUGAUUUUGCCUGACGUGAUGAUUAGAUGUUAAUUAUUCCAUACGCACAAAAGUAGAGAGUGUACUCAUCGAUACUUCCUAGAAAAACGUAAGCACAUACAUUGUGAUGCCCCACUUGAUGCAUUAAUAAAACCUCUUUCUUGAAAAAUUGAGCGAGGCACUUUUUCGUUGAGAGGAAACAAGAUUUCAGUUAACCAAACAAAUAACAAGACCAUAAUGGAACUACAUCUUUCUCCACGGUUGAAGCAAAGACUCUUAUAAAAUAAGCCUUGAAGAGCGAACCAAGAAUUAGAUUAUGCAUGUACUCCCUCCGUUUUUUUUUGUAUGCAUAUAAGGUUUGGUCAAAGUCAAGCUUUGUAGAGUUUGACUAACUUUAUAUUAAAAAAUAUAAACAUUCACAAUAUGAAAUCAAUAUUAUCAGAUGCACCAUGAAACGUAUUUUCAUACUAUAUAGUUUCAGUAUUGUAGAUGUUCAUAUUUUUUUAUAUAAAUUUGGUCAAACUUUGUGUAGUUUGACUUUAACCAAAUCUUAUAUGCGGAGUAAAAAAAACGGAGGGAGUAUUAGAACACCUCUAUGUGGAACAAAACAGAUGCCACUCUUGAGAAAAAAUCGUGCAUCUUUUUUUAGGUUCUAAGACUAAUAUAGCCACUAAUACUAUAUCAUCUUAAAACAAUUUAAGUUUAAAAAUCGCUAUCUAGGCAUCCUGGAUAACAUUGGCUACCAUACACAACUUGGUAAAUAAAAAAUGCGGGUCAAAUAAAUUGAGCCAUCAUUAGAAAAAAAUUCCAAGUUAAUCAGUUAACUAUUUUGAUCCAGUUCAUGGUACUCUCCCUGUAGCCUAUUGCUAUACCAUUCCAGCAAUGGCAUCCUUGGCCAUUUAAUAACCCUUUGUGCUAGGGACCAUAAGGUUUGAGCUGCCCAAAGAUGGUAAUGUGCAUUUACACUUCAGUCGUGAAGCGGUUUUUUGUUGGGCCGCCAAAGUUGGAGACUCGUCACACAUCUUAUUCUUCGUGUCAAUUGCAGUAGCCCAUGCCUUAAAUCCAGGGAACAAUUCUCAACACAUGUGAAAAAACUAUUUGUGGUUAAAAAGGCAGAGACGCAUGACUGGCAAGAAGUUCUUUUGGCUAAAACGGUCUCGUGUAUUGGGGGCUGAGAUGAAACCAAUAUUAAUUUCAAGACCUACUUGGUUAAAAAGAUUGGCUGCGGAAAAGGUUGUGGCCUGCUUUGUUAGUAGUUCAAAGCCAAAACAGGAGGAAAGCUUAGAAAAAAUGUGGUAUUUAACUAAAUGGUUCUCUUCGGCGAUUGAAGUGCCCCUUGACUGGAAAAAAAUCAUAGGCUGGUAAUUGGGUUCUGCUUCCUAGUUGCUUUCUUGUGUUGGAGUUACUAGACAUGAUUCAGGUGAUUUGAGCCUAAGGUUAACUCAUACACAAGCUAUCCAACUUCUUUGUAUCUUAAUUUCCUAUGGUAGUUAUAUUUAUUGCAGACGUAACGUUAUCCCUAGCCCAUGUUUGCAUUUCAGAGAUGAUGACAAUAAUAAUAUGUGGAUUUAGACAUUGUUGAUUCUUGUGUGAUCUCAUUAUAGUAACAUGCUACUAUCUUGUUAAUCUGCAUUGGCCUAAAUAUAUGAGCUAGCAUGAAUGUUUGAAUAUAUGGGAAAUCAUGUAACACUACUAGGGAAAAGCUUAUACACAGAAUAUUAGCAGUAGCGCUGGGUUAAAUGAGGCGCUGCUGCUACUUAGUAGUAGCGCGUGUCAGUAAGAUGCGCUACUGUUAUACUUUUAGCAGCAGCGCGUUUUAGCGAAACGCGCUGCUGCUAAGUUUGAACUGGGGCAUAAUGGCUAGCCCCACUUAGUAGCAGCGCGUAUCCAGAUACCGCACUACUGCUAUGCUCCAUAGUAGUAGCGCUUUUCUUCGACACGCGCUACUACUAACCCUACCUUAUCGUCCCUGCGCGACCGACCCCCUCACUCUCCCUCUCACUCACUCUCUCCCCCGCGCCCCCGUCGUCCGCUGCCGCCGCCGUUCCCCGACGACCGCCGUCACCCGCAGCCGUCGUUCCUCCUCCACUGAGGUAGUCCCUCAUGCCUCCUCCUCCCUCCUUCCCUCCUCCAUCCUUCUCCAUCUGCCCCCUCCUCUCUCCACCACUGGGCGCCCCUCCUCCACCNNNNNNNNNNNNNNNNNNNNNNNNNNNNNNNNNNNNNNNNNNNNNNNNNNNNNNNNNNNNNNNNNNNNNNNNNNNNNNNNNNNNNNNNNNNNNNNNNNNNNNNNNNNNNNNNNNNNNNNNNNNNNNNNNNNNNNNNNNNNNNNNNNNNNNNNNNNNNNNNNNNNNNNNNNNNNNNNNNNNNNNNNNNNNNNNNNNNNNNNNNNNNNNNNNNNNNNNNNNNNNNNNNNNNNNNNNNNNNNNNNNNNNNNNNNNNNNNNNNNNNNNNNNNNNNNNNNNNNNNNNNNNNNNNNNNNNNNNNNNNNNNNNNNNNNUUUUACUGUUUUUAGUAAGUGUUUAAUAGAAUUAUUAAGAAAAUUAAUAGAACUAGUUUAUUUUUAGUAAUAAUUAGUUUAUUUUUAUUUAUAGUAAGUUCUUAGUUGAACUAGUUAAAUUAAUAGAACUAGUUUAUUUUUAGUAAGAACUAGUUUGUUUUUAUUUAUAGUAAGUGUUAAGUUGAACUAGUUGAAUUAAUAUAACUAGUUUAUUUUUAGUAAGAAAAUUUAGGUAUAUGAGAUUUGAUGAUCUAAUUAAAAUUUUACUAUAGAACUAGUUUAUAUUUAGUAAAAAAAAACUAGUUUAUUUUUUUAUGUCAUUAUCACUUUGUCAUCAAAGAAUGCUAUAUGAGAUCUGAUGAUCUAAUUAAAAUUUUACUUGAUGGAAUAUGCAGGCUUAGUCGUGUCUCCUUGGAGUGAUCGUCAUCCGAGCUACCUCCACUUCCUCUAUACCCGAGUCCGUGAGCUAAAAGUCCACCUCCUCCUUCUCCACCUUCCUCUACAUCCGAACUAGGGUAUUUAGUUAUUCUUCUUAAUCAAAUGAAAUGUUUGGAUUAUAAGCUAUAUUGAAAUGUUUUUGUCAAUAUUGAACCAUUGAAAUGCAAUGAGCACUAGUUUAUGCUCAUGUGCGAAGUGUCCAUUCAUUUUCAAGUGACCUAUGUUUUGCCGGAGUGUUGAUUCAUUUCCAUUCCGGCAAAUUUCAGGCUCUCGAUAUGUCCUAUUUUAGCAAAGGUCAUGUCGGAUUUUUCCAUGAAUUUAAGCAAGACUUGUGCUAGAAUAUGUAGGAAAUAUCGAGUGCCCCGGAUUUGCUAGAAAGAGAACUAAACGACAUUUCGAGUUGACUUUAAGUCUGUCGGGGCUCCAUCCAUGACUGUCCAAAAAUCGGUGAGGGAGAGUCUCCACCAUAUAUGAGAGAAGAAUGCCGACUGUUGUCGUGGGGGUCGCUUUUCCUUCUUCUCUUUGUGCUAGACCUCUGUUAUGCACUAGGGGAAGAAGGAGUAGCGACCAUCAUCAACGGUCGAAAAAUCGGUGACGAAGUGUCCAUCAUAUAUGAGAGAAGAAGAAUGUCGACUGUUGUCGUGGGGGUCGCUUCUCCUUCUUUUCCUUGUGCUAGAUAUUUGUAAUGCACUAGGGAAAGGAGGAAUGGCAAUCAUCACCAACGGUCGCAAUAUCAGAGAGGGAGUGCCCACCAUAUACGUGAGAUGAGAGUUUAGGAAGGAUGACUCGACAGACCUAAAGUCCACCCAUUACAUAUUGAGUAAUAGUGAUAUGUGUGUUGAGUUUUCUGGUAGUUGCCUUCGGUCGAUUUUUAACUAAUGUUUCAACUAUGAACAUAGGAAAUGUCUGAAGACAAAAAGGAAUUCUGUAUGUGCAAAUACUGCGAAGACAAGCGCGGCCUAUGCGACAGGCCUCACCUAGUUGGUGGUAGGCGCUUCAACAUCAAGCUGGAUGACACCUUCAAAGUGCAUACAGUAAGUCACAAUGACAAGUCUUUUCUUGUAAUUAAGCAUGACUUCUGCUUCUUUUGCUUCAACUUAUAAUUUAAUUUUUUUUUACUAUUCUACUAGCAUAUCCCCUGCCAUGCAAGAAUAUAUGUCUUGGAUAAGGUUGGUUUCAGUACUAUGGAAACUAUGGUGGUAAAAAGAGUUAACUUGAGGACCGAGCAUGGUUAUAGUUUUACCACAAAAUUAUACAAUACAGACACCUACACCCAUUUUGAAUGCAAACAAUGGAGAGCACUAUGCAAGGCUUAUGCAUUUGAGCCUGAUAUGCUUAUCACCUUUGAUAUUCGUCCGGAAGAUGAUAUUGAAGAUAAUAUUGACAUCUGGGUCGAUGUGCAGACGCCUCCAGUUCUACUAUUAUGUAAGUUUCUCAACCAUGUUUAUGUCUUUGAUAUUGUUUAUUAAAAAAUACUUGACAACUAAUUUCUAUUGACAGCUUAUUUCCAUUCAAGCAAACAUGUCCAGCGCUUGGUAGACAGGACCUACUACUGUCCCGGGGCUGAACUAAACUACGAGGAGACAAGUCAUUAUGUUUCAUGGCUUGAGGAUCUUCAUACUGUCAAGACAAAUUAUUUUCCUGGACUUAGAAAUCUUAGUACUCAAAACGUGCGACCAAUAGUGUUCGUACUGAACUACGGUCACAUCUAUUUAGGAAAGAUGGUAAGAUUUUACUAUUUGUCCUCAGUGCAUCUUUUGCAUACAUUAUUUUUUAAGCUAAACUUCAUUGCUAAGUAUGUUACUACAUGUUCUUCAACAGGGACUCUCCAUGAUAGUUGUGCCUCUGUGGAUCGAAGCUAAAGGUCGCAUGUCCAUGGUUAGCAUACGGCCAAGACUUCCUACAUUGCACAUGAGUGCAUUCAGGAUUUCUAGAAGCGAGCAAGUCUUAAUAGUCAAAGAUGGAACAAAAUUGUGAAGGAUCGCAGAGAAGUACUAGGGGGCAGCAAUCAGAAGCGCAGCCCACAAUUAGGAGACGGGUUCAUCUGCAUGCUUCAAUAUGAUGAAUCAGGAGCGCUCCACAUGUUCUAUGCUAUUUUACCUAAGAGAGAGCAGUAGGAGUGAUUAGCUAGCUAGAAUGAGUGUUGGUGGUGAUGACUAUGAUGAUUAAUAUUACCUAGUGUUGAUGGUGGUUAGCUAUGACUAUGAUGAUUAAAUAGUGUUGGCGGUAAUAACUAUGAUGAUUAUUAGCUAGUGUUGUUGGUGAUGAUAUGAUGCAAGAGUUUUUAUAUUAAUAUGAUGAUGAUGAUGAUGAUGAUGAGUACGUUAUUAUAUCACUGGGUGAAAGGACCGUGGAUUAGUUUUAAGUGGAUGGAUCCUAAGUGAUUAAGUCAUGGAUUAUCGUGAUAAUCCAUGACUUGGUCACUUAGGAUCCAUCCAUUUGAACCAAUCUGUGGUUCUUUCAUCUACUGAUUUAAUAACUCAUUAUAAUGUAAAAACAAUCUCUAAAUUGCUACUGUAUGAAAAAAAUGUAUAAAGCUAAAAUUUAAAAGAAAUAGAGUACGGAUAAUAGUAGUAGCACGAGCAGAGAGAAGCGCUACUAGUAAUUACCAGUAGCGGUUAUUUGAGAAAGCGCUACUACUAAGUAGAUAUAGCAGUAGCGCGUGCCAGCAGGCGCUACUGCUAAGCUUUAGCUUUAGCGUCGUAUUAGUAACGCGGUUACCCGCGCUACUGAUAGGCCAAAAACCAGCGUACUGCUAGGUUUUCCCUAGUAGUGUAACUGAAUCAGAUCUAUAAUACCUAAAUAGUUGAUCCCCACUAUGUUAUUUCUCUAGACAUGCAGGCUAUCCACAUCAACAAACCUGCCACAUCAGUUGGUGAUCCACGUCAUGUCAAUUAGGUUAUCUAUUCACGUACACCAGAUUCAAUCAGGUUCAAUUUAGUUUGGAAACCGAACAGUUAGGUUGGGUUGGACUCCUUUGCUUCCCCUCCCUGUGUAAUUAUGUAUACCGCACCAUAUUCUUCCCCUCCCCUCCACUUUCCCAAUUUCAGGGCAUCUUCUCCCCUUCCAUUCUCAACCGAUUCCUUUCCAUGUGUAUAAAUCUGCACUUCCUCUCCCACGCUUCCUCCCGCACAAGGCCACUGCUUCCCAUGCUACGGGUCCUUCAAUUGAUGCCGCCUCCUGCUGAUUGUAGGCACACCGGUGCUCUUGCCGUCCUUCCAGCGGUGGUGAUCGUGUCGGAUUCUCACCAUCGUUUCUCUGGAAGAAGAGAUCAACACCCCGAAUCAUCAUGUACUCAUCUUAGCUACUGCAGGAGAACCCCAUUGCUAUUGCGCCUUUCUCCCUCAUCCACCAUGGCAUCAUGAUAUUUCAUCUCCAGCAAUACCAACGUAUGUGCAGGGCAGAUGACUUCUUCCUAUGCUAUUUUUAUUUUCUGACAUUAUGCAUGCUACGUCAUGAUCAAUCAAGGAAAAAAAUCAAACAAAGGGUUGUGCAUGUGCUUUAUUAUACUGUACUCCCAUGUUUUUCUUUUGAGGAAUUAGCAACUGAUGCCUAUUGGAUGCUUGAAGAAAUGCCUCAACCACCUAACAAAUUUCUUAGUAAGUACUCCCUUCAGAAUAUUAGGGAGAUAGCUUUUGCUACUUGCUAGAGUUUGAAUCUGCCUAAUGUAUUACUGCAGGUAAUCCACGUUGACCACAAUUCUUUGAACUUGGAGCACUCUUUUCCCUGAUAAUCAAGUUCUGCACGUGGGCACUAAUGGCUACUACUGAUGGAGUGAAUGGAUGGCUCAAAUAAAAUUUCUUCACUACAUGUUUUUCCCUUUUUUGUGAAUGUGCUUCUGCACUAAAUGACAGAACUGCAUUAGACUCUACACCAGUAUAUCACCCAUUCCGGUCACAGCAAUAAGAAUGCCACUGAAUUUGUGAAAUAUACAGUUGAGAAUACUAUAAAACAACCGCAACUGUAUGAUUAUCCAGUUGUAACUGCUGAUUGAGAAUCCUAUGAAGCAACCACAAUUGUAUGAUUAUCCAGUUGUAACUUCUGACAUAGUAAGAAAUGGAAUAACACAUUUACUGUGAUUUUACUAAGAGCAUUGACCACAUUUCAAAAGCAUUAUCAAACUCAGUUUUGAACAGGAAUGUCGUUUUUUAAACUAAACAAUUAUCAUGCAAAGGUUGUGAAUUAUAUGUAAUCAUGUAUCCAUGUUUUUAUCUUCCUAUUAUAUUGUGAGUCGAACUACUCUUCUUCAUUACUAACGUUUAUCCUAUACAAUGCUAUGAUCCCGCAGCAACACGCGGGGAAUUGUCUAGUUUUCUAUGUGUGGGUGAGGAUUAGUUUACCUAUAUAUAGUUGGCAACAAUUGCAUAUGGAACUAAAAUAGAUUGUCAAGUUAAGUAGUUGGCCAUAUAGGAUGUGCACCGCUUGCUUGACUAAGCACAUCCUUGUGAUAUCCAUGUCAUUUAAUAUGGUCUUACUCAGAACCAAGAGAUAAGGCUGAUUGUUUAUGAUUUCAAUAUUAAUAUCUAAUAACAAUAUUAGGUUGAUGUGUAAUUAAUUCCUAGAAGUAUGCGUGUGUUGUAAUAUGACAACAAUGUUAGACCAAUGUGUAAAUGAGUUAUGGGCAUGUGCCUCUACACGGAAUCUGAAAUUUCGCUCAUUUUCAAUCAAAUGGACAUACCGGUAUUAUUACUAUAUAACUUGAUAUUAAAUAUGGAGCUAGCAUAUAAGUGCAACCAAGCAUUGAAUUCAUUAAUGAUUGUGAUAGUCUCGCGGUCACCGAAUAUAGGUGUGAUUUGUUUCAGCCAUUCACAUGUAUAACUAUGCAAGCCAAGACAUGUAUACACAUUUUGAGCAUUCAGAUCAGUCAGAGUUUUAUAAGACACCACUAUAGCAUAUGGAGAGGGGGGAGGGGGUCUCAGGAACCUUGAGGCUUGAGAGGUAUGCAGACAACUAUUGAUGUAAUGCAAUGGCAUAGAGGAGGUAGUGGAUCAAUAACUUUAGCAAGUCUCUGUGAAGCUACUUGGGCAUGAGAAUGUAUCUUGUGCAAUGAGCUAUCUGAUGCAACGGGUGCACCAGCUCAAUCUGACCCGCCGGAUGCACAAUAGAGGGACCAGAUUGCAUAAACAUAUAGGCUGCUGGUACAUUUUACAUAUUGCUCCUCGAAGUCAGAAAUCGUCCUUUUGCGCAACGGUUUUUCCCAAAAACAGCGUCUGUUUUGUCCUCCCGUCUCCUGACCUGAGAGUGCCAGAGUGAUUCAGAUCGCAAGCUAGGGUUAGCGACUCACAUCAUCACAUUUCUCGUACCCUCCGCUCGGCUGCCCAACCUUCUGCGCCCUCUAUCUUGUAGCUAGUUUCGUUGCCGGCGAAGCACCAGCGCCCCUCCUCUGCUCUUAAAUAGUCGUCCCUAGUUGAGUUCCCAUUGCCACCCGCGAGCGCCUGAAUGCAGCACUGCUACACUAUAGUUCCGAGGGAUGUUGACGCAACAACUGCAAAGGAGUCAGCCAUCUUCUACAGCUCCAGGAUCCAGGGUGUGCUCUUUUAAUUGUCCAUGUACUAUGGCCAUGUAUGGAACAAUUUAAUGUUUUUUUGUGGUUCAAGUGGAUUUAUGUCAUGCAUAAUCCCAUAUUGUUUGACCCGAGAGACUGGUUAUGCUUCAGGAAAUUUAUGCUCAGGAAGUUGCAGAAAUAUAUGUUUUGUUGUAGGAACAACCGGUUCAGAGUUUAUGUUCUGCUUCAGGACUAAUUGAUGAGCCAGUUCAAGUUAAGACUAGUUUUCACCAUGAUGCAUAUCUUUGUUCUGUACUAUAAUUGUGUUUCAGCCUUUUCCGUGAAAUGCUGCGGCGGGAUGUUAAUUGUAUUGUGUUUAAGUAGUCCAUCAAGACUUGAACUGUCUGGUAGCACUUUAAUCAAAUUAGAAUGUGUACUGAAACUCUGCAAAAUUUAAAGUUUUUUUGUGGGGUGCAAAAUUUAAAAGAUAGUCAGUAACCUUACUAUCACGUACACAAAAGGGUUCGGACGUCGUGUAAGAACAUGAGAGAUAAUAUAUUUCAUAAGGAAAACUUUGUUUCUAGACAAUUCGUAAAAGAAUGCCAUCUGCUAUCAAUUUUGACAUUUUCAAGCUCCGUAUUUCCUUACACAUACAUUAGUGUGCAUUCCUAUGGAAGCAUUCAGACAAUAGUAUCUCUUUGCUUUAGCCAAAUGAAUGAGCACCAUGCAGCUCCCCUGAUCAUCCGAGAAAGACCGACUUGAUGCAGCUAGAACACUAGCUUGUACAACAAACUAUGUUUUUUCAGACGAGCCUGUAGCUAAACAUGCAGACGAUACAUGAAAAUCACGACAAUCAUCAAUUUUCAGAUGCAUAUGGUGAUAGACUUUGAGAUCGGAGUAGGCUAGUAGAUCCGGUAACCUACCUCCUCCUGGUGCGGACGAACUCGAUCCAGCACCGGCCAUGAUGGUGUGGUGACGGCGGCGACGUGGACUGAGAUGGCGGCGGCAGUGUGCUUCCCGUGAGCACCGCGCUUACCCUAGAUCGGUAGGGAGUGUUCGGUGGGGUUUGUGGCGGCGUUCAACCUCGUGAGACGUGCCCCGUCCCCCACCUCUAUUAUAUAGCACGGGUCACAGGGGCCCACCAACCAUGGUUUGGUUGGGCGCCCCCGAUCAGGGCGUGAGUCAGGGGCCCGUUCGACCCGUUGGGUUCGAACGGGAUAGAGAUCAAUCUAACAUUCUCCCCCUUGAUCUCAACUUUACUUUUUACCUUAUACUUUCUAUUUUAUUUGUUUCAUCACAUAUUGGUACAUAGAGCAUGUUUCAUCGUCGCAGCUCAAUUGCCGAUAGAAUCAUUCAGCUACAACAUACGUUUUGUUCAGAAACAAAUUCUGUUCCUUUUGGGCCUAUCCAGGAAUCAUAAGGCUUUCCCUUAAACCCAUGCCGGCUAAGUAUUCCUUGAACACAUUGGGUGGUAAGCCUUUCGUUAGCGGAUCCGCAAGCAUAUCUUUUGUCUUUAUAUGCUCGAGACUUAUAGUUUGAUCCUGGAUUUUAUCUUUCACAACAUAAUACUUUAUAUCUAUUAUUUUGGCAGCAUUACUCGACUUGUUGUUGUGAGCGUAAAAUACCGCGGGCUGAUUGUCGCAGUACAUCUUUAGUGGUUUGUGAAUACAAUCUACCACUUUCAAGUCGGGUAAAAAUUUCUUUAGCCAUAUUGCCUGCCCCGUGGCUUCGAAGCAUUCUAUGAAUUCUGCAUACAUCGUGGAUGAUGCAACUAUCGACUGUUUGGAGCUUUUCCAUGAAAUAGCUCCCCCAGCAAGGGUGAAUACGUAUCCUGGCGUGGAUUUUCUAUCAUCUUUGUCCCCCGCAAAAUCUGCGUCUGAAUACCCUUUUAUCUCUAGGGAAUCAGAUCUCAUGUAUGUUAGCAUGUAGUCCUUCGUGCCUUGCGCAUAACGCAAUGAUUUCUUUAUCAUCUUCCAGUUCUUUAUGCCUGGAUUCUCUUGAUAUCUACCGAGUACCCCGGUGAUAAAGGCUAAGUCAGGCCGAGUGCACACUUGUGCAUACUGCAAGCUGCCAACUGCCGAAGCAUAUGGUACUCCUUUCAUUUGAUCGAUCUCGUACUGGUUUUUGGGACAUUGGAAUUUCCCAAAACUAUCGCUCUUAACUAUAGGAGCAGGUGUGGCUUUACUCGCAUGCAUAUUAUAUUUUUUUAAGAACCUUUUCUAAAUACGCUUUCUGCGAUAGUCCUAAGACUCCAUUGUUUCUAUCUCGGUGAAUUUCUAUGCCCAAAACAUAUGAUGCUUCACCAAGAUCUAUUAUGUCAAAAUUCGAGGAUAAGAACUUCUUUGUUUCUUGUAGUAGAUUAACAUCACUGCUAGCAAGCAGAAUGUCAUCCACAUACAAGAUUAGGAAAAUAUAUUUCCCAUUUUUAAACUUUGCAUAAAUGCAGUUAUCCUCAAUAUUUUAUUUAAAACCAAAACUUUUAAUCAUUUGAUUAAACUUUAAAUACCACUGCCUAGAGGCUUGCUUUAAUCCAUAAAUGGAUUUCUUGAGGCGGCAUCCCAUAUUUUUCUUGUCUUCCAUGAUAAAACCCUUGGGCUGUUUCAUGUAGACAUUUUCUUUUAAAUCUCCGUUGAGAAAUGUCGUCUUUACAUCCAUUUGAUGUAACUCUAAAUCAAAAUGAGCAACUAAUGCCAUUACCAUUCUGAAGGAAUCCUUACAUGAGAACGGAGAAAAUGUCUCUUUGUAAUAUAUCCCUUCUCUUUUUUGUAAAUCCUUUUGCCACGAGUCGUGCUUUAUAUUUUUCUAUAUUCCCUUUAGAGUCAUACUUAAUUUUGUAGACCCAUUUGCAGCCUACUGAUUUGGCUCCUUUAGGAAUUUCCUCUAAGUCCCAAACAUCUUUGGAACUCAUUGAUUUCAUCUCGUCUUCCAUUGCCUUCGUCCACAUCGAUGAAUGAGGGCUUCUCAUGGCUUCUUCAUAUGAGGUGGGAUCUUUUUCCAUAUGAACCAUUUCUGUGUUAUAAACUUUAAAGUCAGUAGAAAUAGCUGACUUUCUUGGUCUUGUAGACCUUCUAAGGGCCUCAGUUUCUGGCACAUUCUGUGCCUCAACUUCUGGUACUUCUUCUAAAAUGUGCUGCUGCACCUCCCUUUCAUGCUCAACAACGGGUUCAGUCGGCUCCUGACGGACAGGUUCCGGGUCUGCUCCCAUAGUUGUCAUGGGUGGAGUUGCAACUGGUAGUGAGAAAAAUGGCUCCUGGAUCAUCGGAUUAGGUGCAUGCACCCUCUUCUCCUCAAGAUCAAUUUUCCGAGCUACCAAGCUCCCCCUCAUCAUUUCGUCCUCUAAGAAGACUGCAUGUCUCGUUUCUACAAACUUUGUAUAUCUGUCUGGGCAGUAGAAACGAAAACCCUUUGAUCUGUCUGGAUAGCCAAUGAAGUGGCAACUCACUGUUUUGGGAUCUAACUUUCUAAUGUUUGGAUUAAACAUUUUGGCCUCAGCAGGGCACCCCCACACCCUGAAGUGUUGUAGGGAUGGCACCCUUCAUGUCCAUUGCGCGUACGGUGUUUUGGGCACCGACUUGCUUGGUACUCUAUUGAGAAUGUGAAUGGCGGUUUUAAGCGCCUCCAUCCAUAAUCCCAAUGGCAAGUUGGAAUAACUCAUCAUGCUGUGCACCAUAUCCAUAAGUGUACGGUUGUGCCUUUCAGCUACUCCAUUUUGUUGAGGUUCGCCCGGCAUUGAAUACUGGGCAACUAUGCCAGUCUCCUGCAAGAACUUUGCAGAAGGUCCAGGGACUUGGCCAUAUGGAGUGUGCCGACCGUAGUACUCUCCCCCAUGGUCGGACCUAACUAUCUUUAUUCUUUUAUCAUGCUGAUUUUCAACUUCAGCUUUGAAUAUUUUAAAUUUAUCCAACACUUUAGAUCUUUCUUUGAUUGGAUAAAUAUAUCCAUAGCGAGAGUAAUCAUCUGUGAAUGUUAUGAACGAGUCAUAUCCAUCCACACUUUUCACCAGAAAUGGUCCACAAAUAUCAGUGUGGAUGAUUUCUAGUGUGCCUGUGCUAUGGAUUGCAUCUUUUUUGAUUUGUUUUACAUACUUUCCUUUAACGCAAUCUAUGCAUUUUUCUAAGUCUGAAAAUUCUAACGGAGGAAGAAUUUCACUUUUGACUAAUCUUUCUAUUCUCCCCUUCGAAAUAUGGCCCAAGCGACAUUGCCAUAAUUUCGAUGAGUCGAAUGUUCUUUUUCUUUUCUUUUGCUCUUUAUUCGACGCGGAAACAUUUUCUUUCACAUUGCAAACGGAAUAAACUUUUUCACGUAGUGAUAACAAAUAAAUCUCAUCAUGUAGUAAAGCAUCACCCACAUAAGCAUUAUUAUACCAAAUGGCACACUUUCCAUGUCCAAAAUAACAUUCAUAAUUAUCUUUGUCCAAACAAGAAACACUAAUUAAGUUUCUAUGACAUGAUGGAACAAAUAAAACAUCUCUAAGUAGAAGAUUGAAUCCGCCAUCUAACUCCAAGGAGAUGUCACCGACAGCUUCAACUUCUUCUUCAACUCCGUUUGCCACUUCAAUGCGUCUUUUGCUUCUUAGCGUAGUUUGCGUCGAAUGGAAUCCCUGUAAAGAAUUUGCAACAUGAACUGUUGCUCCUGAAUCAAUCCACCAACUGGAUUUUGAAAACUGUGUAUCCAAGGAUUCAUUUACAAAUGAAACUAUAUUGUUACCUCUUUUGCCAUGACUGACUUCAGCCAAGCAGCGCAGUCUUUCUUGUAAUGCCCUUUCUGCUUGCAGUGGAGACAAGUGUCUUUGUCCACUGAGAAAGGUUGUUGCUGAUGCUGAUGUUGAUGGGGGGCUUUUCCAUGCUUUGAAGGAGAACUUUUGUUGCUUUGACUGUAGUUCUUUUUCUUGUAAUCCUUCACAUAGUUGAGUGAACCACCAUGUGCGGCUUUGAGUCUUUCCUCUUCUUGGACACACAUUGCUAUUGUCUUUUCAAUGUCCCAUAUUCCAGGGGUCAUAUUAUAGUUUACAACAAAAGUUUCAAACUCCUUUGGCAGUGAAGCCAUGACCAGGUGGACCAGGAGCGUUGGUUUGAUCUCCAGAUCCUCAUCCAUGGGCUUUAGCUUUGCUGCCAUAUUGCUCAUCCUCAGGAUGUGCUCUCUUAUUCCAUGACUACCACCCGUGUAGCGUUGUGUCACCAGUUGCUCUAACACUUGGGUGGCAUAUAUCUUUGAAGAGCCAGUGAACUGGCUCUUUAUCUUUGUAAGCAACUCCCCUGCGGAAGUGCACUCUGCAAUGGAGCCCACAAUGGCGCUCUCAAUUGUAUUCUUUAUAAAUGUCAUUCACUUUUUGUUUGCAUUGACCCACUUUUGGUUAUCUAUGAGGUAGGACUGCUCCAAAGGAGCAUAGUCCCACUUCUUUUUAGCCCAUGCAGCAUCAUCAUCAGUGGCCUCUCUUACUGGCUCUGUGGGUAUGGCCGGUUGUGGUUUCUCCACAACCCAGUCAAGAUCAGCACAAACAAAUGCCAGUUCAACUUUCUUCCUCCACUCAGUGUGGUUGUCACCUCUGAGUGCCGGAACUUCUUUUAGGCAACUCAUCAAGUGAAAGCCUCCUUCUCCUGGUGCGGACGAACUCGAUCCAGUGCCGGCCAUGGUGGUGUGGUGACGGCGGCGAUGUGGACUGAGAUGGCGGCGGCGGUGUGUUUCCCAUGAGCACCGCGCUUACCCUAGAUCGGUAGGGAGUGUUCGGUGGGAUUUGUGGCAGCGUUCAACCUCGUGAGACGUGCCCCGGCCCCCACCUCUGUUAUAUAGCGCGGGUCACAGGGGCCCACCAACCAUGGUUUGGUUGGGCGCCCCUGAUCAGGACGCGAGUCAGGGACCCGUUCGACCCGUUGGGUUCGAACGGGAUAGAGAUCAAUCUAACAUAUGGAACAUGAGAGAUCUCCAAAAUAACAAGUAGAACGUGGUUGGGUAAGAUUAAACUUUGUGCUGUAGAGAAUGCUGUAGAGAAUGUCAGUAACAUUCCUGAGCUUACUCAUGUAUAAAACAACUUAUCCAUACUUGUCGUUGCUUCACUCCUACAAUCUAAUAUAAUGUGUUACAGGAAAUUCAAAAAAGAAGACAAGUAUGGCAGAUCUGAAAAUGUUAUGGGUCAACUGAAGAAUUGCCUAAUCAAAUCAAGUGUCUAAUAGUCCACCUGUACUUAGUAUGCUGCUAGCACAUAUAUAUGGAUUCAAUUUACGUGCAUUGUGGCAUAUACAUGAACUAUUCCUCAAAUAUUUGGCAUCAUGCUGAGCUGUACCAUGUUUCUACUCACACGACUAAACCAUAUGACAGCGACAACAGUUUCGGAGCGGAGCAGAGGAGGGGCGUGUGCUUCAGAGGCGCCGGAAGUAGGUACACAAGAGAGGGGAGAAAGUUGGGUUGGCCAAGAGAGCGGGCGAUGUAAGCUCCACCUAGCACGACCUUCUCCCUUGGGCUCGCCGGCGGCAAUGGAAGCUCCACCUGGGACGGCCGUUUCAGAGAAGAGGAGGGGCGCUGGUGAUUCACCGGCAACGGAACUAUGUACAAGUGAGAGAGGGGAGAAAGUCGGGCGACCCAGGGGGAGCGGGAGAGAGAGGCGGCGAGAGGACUCGCUAACCCUACUCACGAUCUGAAUCGCCCUGGCACGCUCAGGUACAGGAGAGGAAGACGAGAUGCCAAGGAAAGAGACGAUGUCUUGGAGGAUGACUGUUUGCGCAAAUGGACGAUUUCUGAGGAGCAAUAUGUAAAAUGUACCAGCAGCCCAUAUGUUUAUGCAAUCUGGUCCCUCUAUUGUGCAUCCGGCGGCUCAGAUUGAGCUGGUGCACUCGUAGCAUCAGAUGGCCCGUUGCACACGAUACAUCCUCACUUGGGCAUUACAAGUCAAAUGACGAAUCAUACAUGUCUGUGGGCCAAUGACCCUCUGUAUUUUGUACUGCCUUGAAGAUGUGAUUAGAGAAGUGGGGUCUAUGCCGUGUCGGUGAUAGGUGGCAUUGUUCUUCAUUGUUUCCCCAAGCAGCCUAUUUUGUCGUUUCAUAGGUUAGUGCUUUUUAGCAAAUAAUCUAGUCUGUGAUGGCAUGGUACAAGACUGUACUCGUCGUGUAAUCUGACAAUUUACCAAAUCAGAAGAGUUUUCACCCGAUUGACGGCCGUGUAAAUUGACCUGUGAGGUAUUAAAUUAUUUCCCCUCUGCUACUUUUUUUUGUUGAUCAGCUCAGUGAGAUAAACACACCAUGAAGCCUGCACUGUGCUUCCUGGUGUUUCAAUUGUGGCAAUCGUGUCCGUAUGAACUCUGAGAAUUAAUGGAGAAACUGACCAUGAUUGUGUCAGAAAUGUGUUGCGGAGCGUGAAACAUGCUAGAGAUCUCUCAUCCCAUGCUUGAGUUGCAUGGAAUUGAAUAUCCCGUUUGCGUGAAUCUGAGAACGCUUCAAUUUUAUGACGAAUUGUGUUAUGCCAGAAUUCCUGACAUAAAAUUCCCACGGGACUCAACUUGGAUUAUGUAAUUUGUUUUCUAAUUUUCCUUGGUCAAAAGAAGGUGAUUAAUAAUUCAAUGUCUCAUCCUGAAGCAUGUAUAUUAACACAUUGUCCAAUUCAAAUUCUUGUUCACAAAAAUCACCAUUGCGUCUUCUUUAAGAACAAUUCAGUCUUGUUGCAUAUAUCUUCCAAAGCAUCAUCAAGCCUUUAGUGCCUGCUUAUUAUUCUUUAACUUAACCAUAUCUUAAUUAAAUUAAUUAUAGCAACAAGUUGGAUGAAUUCAGUGCCAGCUGCAAGAUUUGCUUAUGUCAUGCAUAUAUUUCCAUGGAAGGACAACUGUCAAACAAUGAAUCCUUUGGGAGCGGACCCAAGUAUGAACAACCAAUGAUCGCCCGAAAGUUGUAUCAGUUCAAAAAUUUAACACUUUCGCUUCGAUACAACCCCCAUGUACCCCUUCAUAAUAAAGCAUAGGAUGGUCUUUAUCAAAAGCACAUCGUCUGCGCCAAGCGCGAUAUGCGGCCUGUGCGUACCGCCCUGGGCCAGUCCAUUUUACAUUUUUUUCCUGUUCUGUAAAACCUUCAAAAGGGCGGGCCAGCCCAUUUUACACUUUUUUCAUGUUUUCUAAAACCUUCAAAUAAUGAGCGCCCCAUUAGAUUCAAACCGAGCACAUGUACGCUUACUACAAGGGCAAUAACCAACUGGACUACUUCUUGUGUCUAGUUACCUUCUUUUUUCUCCCUCAAAUAUAACACUAACCAAUGUGUGAACAUUUUUUAAAAUAUAAUAAUUUUUUGGUUAAUUGAUAUGAAAUAUUUUGAAUUAUGUGAAAGUACCACUUCAUAAUAAAGGGUAGGAUGGUCUUUUUUAAAAUUACGUCGACUGCGCGAAGCGCAAUACGCGGCAUGUGUAUGUAUUGCCUUGGGCCGGCCCAUUUUACAUUUUCCCCCUUUUCUGUAAAAGUUUUAAAAAAUGAGUGUUCAACGGGAUUCAAGCCCAGCACGUAUACACUUAGUACAAGCGAGGUAACCAACUAGACUACUUUCUGUUGUCUACUUAUCAUUUUUUUGUCUUUUUCAAAUAUAACACUAACCAAUACGAGCAUGUUUUGUAUUCUUUGUCCUUUUUAAUAAAAAAUAUCUUUCUUUUUACUUUUUCCAUUUCUUUUCUAUUUUAAAUUUGCAAAACAUUUAAAUCGUGACCUUUUUCUGAAGUCUAUGAACUUUUAAAAUUCUUGAACAUUUUCUUAAAUUCAUGAACUUUAUUUUCAAAUCUGUGAACUUUUUUCAAAUCCACGACCUCUUUUAAGUUUAAACGAAUUUACUUUUAAAGCCCACGAUUUUUUAUCAUAUUUUUUUCAAAUUGAUUAACUUUUCUCAAAUCCGCGGACACUUGGGUCGGCCCAACUAGGUGGGACGAUGCGGUCACCUAGUUGGGCCAAGGCCUAACCUUUUGUUUCUCUUUUCUAUUUUUAGGUUUUUCUUUACUUUUUUCCUUAAUUCAUUAUUCUCAUUCUUGAAAAAAUAGACCUGUUCCAAACAUUGAAAUAUUGUUGGAAUACCAAAAAAAACUUGUUUUCAAAUAUAUUUUUACAAUUUUUAAAAAAUGUGCUUGUUUUUCUAUAUUUUGUUCACAAAUUUAAGAAAUGUUUGUGUUUCAAAAAAUUAGAUACAUUUUUAAAAAAGUGUGUGGUUUGCAAUAUUUGUUCAUCAUAUAUUGUUGAUAAUUUUUUAACACUUUUAGAAAAGUGUUGAACCUUGUAAAAUUUUCAUACACAAUUUGGAAUGAAAAAAUUAUUGACAAAUUUCCAGAAAUGGUUAGGAUAUAAGAAAGUGUUCAUGUUGGCUGAUAAUGACGGAAACUGCAAAUAACAAAGGUAUUCAAAUUAGGAAAAACUACAUACUCACGAAUCCACCUAUUGGGCCUUGUCUAGCACUCUUUUCUGAACUGGUGGUUUUUUGCACUAUAGAUAAAUGACCUCAUCUUCUUGCAACGGCUUGACACAAAUAUAUGAGGCGUUUGAACAAAUUCCGACAUUGUAUGCAAGUUGCGGCACGUCCGGUCAAUUAUAGGCCAUUUUUCACCGAGAAAACUCCAAAAACUACAAGAAUUGUCAAAAAAUUGAAAAAAUUGGCAUGAUGCCUUGAAUUGGUCACAUAAGCUGGUGGUAAAAAUUGAGGUCAUUUGACGGAUGUCAAAACAAUGUGCUUUCAAAAGGGCCCUUCUGGCCUAUUUGAGCACCAUCUGUCGAACAUGAUCUAGUUUUAAACAUUCUUAAAACAACCCCAACUUUUGCAGUCAUGUGGGCAUGCCCAUGGUAGGCAUCCAUGACAGGUUUGAACGAGUUUCGACACCGUAUACAAGUUACGACACGUCAGACUUUAUCAGCUUUUUUAUUAGGAAAACUUCAUAAAAAUGCAAAAUUUAUCGAAAACCAAAACAUCUUGGCAUGAUGCCUUUAAUUGGUCAUACAAGGCCAUGGAAAAAAUUGGGGCCAUUUCAAGGAUGUCGGAAAACAAUGUGCUCUCGGACGGAGCUUUCUGGUAUACCCGAACACACUUUUGUUGAACAAGAUAUAUGUUUGUACAUCCUUCAAAUGGGGAAAGUAUCUGGUGCACCGGUGGUUGUGGUGCUACCGGUGCACCAGACGACCAUAGCGCAUUCAAGAAUGUUAAAAAAACUGAAAAAACAUUAGCACAUUGGCACAACGUCGGUUCAUGUUGUCGCAAAAUUUCAACUCAAAAUUUCUGCUCGAGGUACAAAAAUCAUAAAAUUGGCACUGAAUAGUACACAACAUUAGUUGGGCUUUAGAUUUGGCCCAUUAACACACUGAUGCCAAAUUUGUUAUUUUUGUAUCUUGUGCAAUGUUUUGAAUUUUGAUUUUAAUUUUUGCAACAACAUAGACCGACGUUGCGCAAAUGGGCUACAUUGUUUUCAGAUUUUUUUAAAAUAUUCUUAAACACGCUACGACGUCCGGUGCACCGGAUACUUUCCCCCUCAAAUGACGCCAACUUUUGCAAGGUGGACAUGCCCAUAGUAGGUAUUCAUGUCAGGUUUGAACUAUUUCGACACCGCAUGUAAGUUGCGACAGAUCCUACCAUUAUCAGACUUUUUUGACCCGAAAAUUCCAGAUUUGUUGAAAACCAAAACAACUUGGCAUAAUGCCUUUAAUUGGCCAUAUAAGAUCCUGUAAAAAAUUGGGGUCAUUUGACGGAUCCAAAAAACAUGCACUCAAAGGGAGCCUUCUGGGCUACUCGAACACCCUCCAUCGAACACUCUCCGUUGAACAUGGCCUUCUGGCUUACUCAAACCUGUAGGCAGCACACUGCCGUUCAUAUUUAGUCCCAUCUCACCUGGUUACACGGAAGGAGUCAGAAAUCUUGACUAUAUAAUAGGGCAGCCUGGUUACAUGGCUGACGGCCAACCCGAUAAUUCGACCCAUGGGUGCCUGAGCUCAUGGGCACCUACCCCGAAUGGGUAGGGUAUGGAUCAUCAUCUUCAUCCUAAUUAACGUAGCAACGAUGCAAUAUUUUCAGCCUAUUGAACCUCCAAAAGCUGAAGGCAUGCAACACACAGUCUAAAAAAAGUGCAUGCUACCCUAGAAAAAAUCUAUUGCGUGCAUGUCAGUGAAUUGAUCAUAGGAGCAGGUUGUUUAGUACCACCUGGCUUGCUCUGGCGUCUAGUAGGUGGGGUUCUACUAUAUAAAGGAGACUAGGAGGUUCAAGAGGAAAUACAUCAACCAUGGCAUGCAUUGAACGAGUAAAAAGAAAACAUAAUAAAACGGCAGACCUGAUCGGUGCCUGAGUUGGUCGGGUUACUCAAUGGGUUCGGGCAUGGGUCACCCAUGGGUACGCUCCUAGGCAGGCGACAAACCCGACAAGGGAUUCGGGCAUGAGUCUAGGAGAGGUCGACCCGACCAAACCCGACCCGAUUGCCAGCCUGAGUUGCCGACUUUUAAAUUUUAAAAAAAUGUUCAUAGAUAAAAGAAAAGUUCACAAGUUUAAAAAUGUUCAAAGAUUUGAACAAAGUACACGAAUGUGACAAAAAAGUUCCCAAAAUUGAAGACAGUUCACGAAUUUGACAAAAAAGUUCAUGAUUUUAACACAAAAGUUCAUGAAUUUGACAAGAAAGUUCAUGAAUUUGAAAAAAAUUCGUGAAAUUGAAAAAAGUUCAUCGGUCUGAAAAAACUUCACGAAUUUGACAAAAAAAGUUCACGAAAUUGAUAAAAGUUUACAAAAUUAAAAAAAGCAUUUAUUUGAAAAAUAAAUAAUGAAUUCAACAAAUAAGUUCAUGCAUUUUUAAAAAGUUAAGGAAUUUAAGAAAAUGUUCACGAAUUUAAGAAAAUUAAAAAGAAAACAGUGUAUGUAGUUUUUUAUUUGAAUUUUUAUUAAAAGAAAAGCGCUUGGGUAGCUAGUCAUUGAAAUGACACACGGGUCCCUCGCUCCAUCCCUCAGUGUGGACCAGUCGUGUACGUUUCAUUCGUUCAUUCAAACACGAGUCAUUUUUUGUUUGCGUUUAGUUCAGUUUUUUUGGCCCAACAUGGUGACUCAUGCGACGAGAACCUAUACGCCAUGCAUAUAGACAACGUGGAAUGAAUAUCGAUCCAUCUUGUACAUGCAGACAUUUCGUUCAUCAUUUACUGAAACACGACUCACCUUUUGUGUUUAAUAUUUUUUUGUUUGCGUUAACUGUAUGUGUUUAACGCCACACACGACUCAUUUUGUUAACGCGGGGACAAGAAUGUGUUUUCUGAAGAAAAAUAAAAAAAGGAAUAAAAUCAAAGAAUAAAAGGGCCAAACAAAAAAAUAAUAAAAGAAGUAACUAGACACCACAAGAUAGUUUUCCCGGUUGGUUAUAGUGUGUGGAAGUAAACUAAGAGGUUGGGAGUUUGAAUCCUACCUCACGCAACUAUGUUUGAAGGUUAAAGAAAGAAAAAGGAAAAUGGGCCAGGCCCAAGACAGAGGUUGUGUUUGUCAGUUUGUGUGACGGGCCGGCGGAUCGGUUGUGUAUACAGCUGGUACGUGCCACAUACAUAGAUGGGUAUAUCUUAUAAUCAGAUGACCCUAUUGUCCUUAUACGGUUUGUGAGUGGGGUGUACUGAAGCAAGACUCAAAAUUUAAAUAAGAAUCGCUCAUUUCUUUCUUUCAAACCAAAGAGCUCUCCUCUCCGAUUUCAAAUAAGAAAGAAACCGAUAAAACGCCACACGACGCACCCAAGUAAAACCAGCAGGCACGAUAUUGGAAUCCUGCUCCUGCAACCAAUCAUCCAAAACGAACUUAAGUUCAACACUACAGGACUGAAACCAAAACAAACUCUUGACAUACACGACAUUACAUCCAACCAUGGCAGCUCCAAAAUAGCAUUUAGAACUACAAAAGGGGGCACUUUUUCCAGCAGCCUCAACCCAAGCGAAUAUGCCUUCCAUCCUCUACCACCACUGAGAAUACGGAAGCAGCCUCCUAUCGAGAAAUAUAUCCAGGUGUGGCGUCUUGCCCCCUGGUGAUUCCUCAAACGAAAAAAUGGGUAUUGGUUCUUGCCUUGGAGUUACUAGAGCUGAUUCAGGUGACCUGAGCCAGGGGGUUAAGUCAUACAAAGCUAUCCAACUUCUUUGGUUACAUCUAUCGCAGAUGUGGCAUUACCUAUAACUAUGUAUGUAUUUUCAAAGAUGAUGACGAUAAUAGGAUGUGGAUGAAGACAUCUUUGAUUCUUGUGUGCUUUGAUUAUAAAAAAGACAUGCUAGUAUGCCCUGAGUCUGCCCUAGCCUAAAUAUAUGAGCUAGCGUAAAUGUUUGAUAUGCACGAGAAACUAAGUAACCAGAUAUGAUUAUCUAUAUGUGGGUGUCAAUUGAUUUACAUGUAGUUGGCUAUUGGCAAAUGCAUAUGUGAUUGACAGAGACUGUUAAGGUAAGCAGUUGCUCCUCUAGGAUGUAUUGGCAUCCUUCAUUAAGUAAAUUAAUGUGUGCUCCAUGUCAUUCAUAUUGUUUUAUUCAGAAAGGGGAGAUAAGGCCGAUUGCUCAGGAUUUCAAUAUGAAUAUCUUAUAAUAAUGUUAGGUAGAUGUGUAAUUAAGUCCUUGAAUAUGCAUUUGUUGUAACCUGACAACAAUGUCAGAUGAUGUGUAAAUAGGUUAUGGAUGUAUGCAUGAGUACUAGUGUAGCACUUGACACUAAAAUAUGCAGUAGCAUAUAAGACCAACCAAGCAUUGAACUCAUUAGUUAUCAUGAUCGUCUCGGGGUAAUUGAAUAUAUGUGCGAUUUGCUCCUACCAUUCACAUGUAUAAAUGUACAAGCCAAGAAACGCAUAUACAUUUUCAGAUUCGAGCCCGAUGAGUUUCAUAAGACAACACCAUAGCAUAGGUCAUGGGGGAAGAAACAAGUACGUUGGGGCUUGAGAGGUAUCAGGAUAAUUAUUGCUUCGGUUCAGUCAUAUAGAGGAGGUACAGGAAUGAUAAUUGGAGCAAACUUUGGCAAAGCAAUUCGAGGACUACAACUCGCUUGAUGAAUGCUACCAGUGUGUGGGCAUACAACUCUCUAACAGACUGCUUGGGUAGUGUCUUGAAGAUGUUGCUAGAGCAGUAGGAGCCCGCGUCGCACCGGCGAUAGGUGGAACUGCUUCGCCUAGCAGCCUGUGUUAUCCUUCGCGAGUCGUUGGUAUGCAUCGUUUUGUACAAGUUCAUGCUUUAAUUUAUACCCAAAUCAGAAGAGUUUUCACCCGAUCCACAACUAGGUAAAUUGUCUUGUGCUGUAUUCAAAUAUUUGCCCCUCUGCUACCUUUCGUGCUACGCAGCCAAUCAUCUAAAUUCCAAAAUGAACUUAAGUUCAACACUACAGGACUGAAACCAAAACAAACUCCAACAAACACAACACUACAUCCAAGUCCAAACAUGACAGCUCCAAAACAGCGCUUACAGCUACUCCCUCUGUAAACUAAUAUAAGAGCCUUUAGAUCACUACUUUAGUAUUCUAGACGCCUUUAUAUUAGAUUACAGAGGGAGUAAAAAAGAAGGCUCUUAAUCCAGCAGCCUCAACACAAAGCCAAUACGCCUGACCAUCGGCCUCCGGCCUCCACCACCACUGAAUUCAGAAGCAACAUUACACAGCCAAUAAGACCUAACUCAUCGAACAGAAGAAACGGAAUUCCAAGUCAUAGACAGCAUUAGGACGCCACCAUUUCCUAGACAUGACACCAACAUAGGUACUGCCAUAAGACAGCAUGAGUCAGCUCACCACCAACCACCAUUAACAAGACAACAGCCGGCGACAAUAGUAGCUCGUCACCAUGUCUCGUGCUCAUCCAUUGGUUCCACGUCCAAUCAACCUUUUGCUACUUCAGACAGUCUUCUUACCCAGCAAUCUGGCAAUCAAAGCAAACAGAACCGGAAGUUACAUCAG
RNAcentral lists this long non-coding RNA (32595 nucleotides) under Triticum aestivum (bread wheat). Its description in RNAcentral is "long non-coding RNA (TAES_LNC026638)". The record is from RNAcentral. Lineage: Eukaryota; Viridiplantae; Streptophyta; Magnoliopsida; Poales; Poaceae.